Corylus avellana is the source of this 107-nucleotide non-coding RNA. Lineage: Eukaryota; Viridiplantae; Streptophyta; Magnoliopsida; Fagales; Betulaceae. The record is from RefSeq and is a predicted model, not a curated record.
AUGUUGUGAUGUGGACAGUUAAGAAGCAACGUAUUGAAGUGGUCCCACGCUUCAAAGGAAAGAUCUCCAUCUCUUUGUUGGAACGAUUGAAGCUCCUUUCUAAGCUG